Molecule: ribosomal RNA, 635 nt
Filed under: uncultured bacterium
Lineage: Bacteria
Description: bacterial SSU rRNA
Rfam family: Bacterial small subunit ribosomal RNA
Source: RNAcentral
GCAAGUCGAGCGGUAGAGAGAAGCUUGCUUCUCUUGAGAGCGGCGGACGGGUGAGUAAUGCCUAGGAAUCUGCCUGGUAGUGGGGGAUAACGUUCGGAAACGGACGCUAAUACCGCAUACGUCCUACGGGAGAAAGCAGGGGACCUUCGGGCCUUGCGCUAUCAGAUGAGCCUAGGUCGGAUUAGCUAGUUGGUGGGGUAAUGGCUCACCAAGGCGACGAUCCGUAACUGGUCUGAGAGGAUGAUCAGUCACACUGGAACUGAGACACGGUCCAGACUCCUACGGGAGGCAGCAGUGGGGAAUAUUGGACAAUGGGCGAAAGCCUGAUCCAGCCAUGCCGCGUGUGUGAAGAAGGUCUUCGGAUUGUAAAGCACUUUAAGUUGGGAGGAAGGGCAGUAAAUUAAUACUUUGCUGUUUUGACGUUACCGACAGAAUAAGCACCGGCUAACUCUGUGCCAGCAGCCGCGGUAAUACAGAGGGUGCAAGCGUUAAUCGGAAUUACUGGGCGUAAAGCGCGCGUAGGUGGUUAGUUAAGUUGGAUGUGAAAUCCCCGGGCUCAACCUGGGAACUGCAUUCAAAACUGACUGACUAGAGUAUGGUAGAGGGUGGUGGAAUUUCCUGUGUAGCGGUGAAAU